RNAcentral lists this ribosomal RNA (380 nucleotides) under uncultured eukaryote. RNAcentral's name for it is "partial 18S ribosomal RNA". It matches the Rfam family "Eukaryotic small subunit ribosomal RNA", at positions 592 to 976 of the family's 1831-position model. The record is from RNAcentral.
CAAUAGCGUAUAUUAAAGUUGUUGCAGUUAAAAAGCUCGUAGUUGGAUUUGUGGCGUACGGUGUGUUCCGGGCACUUGUUGUCUGAGUAACCUGCUGUUGCCAUCCUUGGGUGGAACCUGUGUGGCAUUAGGUUGUCGUGCAGGGGAUGCCCAUCAUUUACUGUGAAAAAAUUAGAGUGUUCAAAGCAGGCUUAUGCCGUUGAAUAUAUUAGCAUGGAAUAAUGAGAUAGGACUUUUUUGCUAUUUUGUUGGUUUGCGCAAAGAGGUAGUGAUUAAUAGGGACAGUUGGGGGUAUUCGUAUUCCAUUGUCAGAGGUGAAAUUCUUGGAUUUUUGGAAGACAAACUACUGCGAAAGCAUUUACCAAGGAUGUUUUCAUUAA